AUUUGUGAAGAAUAUGGCUAUUUCAAGAAGUACCAAGAAAUUGAAGGGAAGAGAAGAGAGUAAAACUGAUUUAUGCUUAGAAGCCCUUAGUAGUCCAGGAUAAGAUUGUAAAACACACCAAAAUUGGAGAUGAUAAUUUAUGCUACCAAAAGAGAUAUUGUUUGUUAGAUUGCAUAUGUCUGUGUGGAGGGAGGUGUGAGAGACUGCACUAAAGUUUAUACACUUCCAAACUAAACAAUAAGGAUUGUCUGACAAAGUAUCCAGCAGCGUGUUAUUCUGACCUCCUUUUGGCCCACGGGCUUUUUGAAGGUUUUGCACAAUAAGGUCAAUGAAGGUUAAGUGGAUACACUCAAAGAUGAACAUGAUGUGGAAGCUCUGAUAGUUAAUUCUGGGACUUUCAUGUACUGUUUGGAUGCAGGGCUUGCCAAAACUACCACAGGAAAUAAAGUAUUUUGGCUUCCAUGGAUUCUUUUCCAUCCCUCACAAAAUCAAAUUAUUCCCUGGUUCUGUUUCUCAAAGUCAAGAGUUCAAUAUGAAACUAUAUUGUAAGCAUACCAUGGGCCAGUAUGUUGCAGAUCAAAUUUUUCAAGCUAAUUGACAAAGAAAAACAUUCUUAUAAUAAUCCACUGUACACCUAACGUACAAUAUAGCUCCUCUAUAAUGUGUAGAGGACAAUGUCCUCUAUACAUAAAGGACAAUAUAACUCUGAACACAAGGUGGUUGAGGAAUAAGAAAGCUUAUGCUGCAACCCAAAGAUGCAUGUUCCAGUCUAUGAGGAGGGACCUAUGAAAAAAGCUUAAGUGAAAAGGUAGUAUUGCUCCAAACUAUCAUACCCAGAAAAAGGUCAGGUUGCUUAGCAGCAGCUAAGUGACAUCACAGCCUAGGAGCAGGCU
This 893-nucleotide long non-coding RNA is filed under the name Homo sapiens (human). RNAcentral's name for it is "non-protein coding lnc-GJA10-22:1". The record is from RNAcentral. Lineage: Eukaryota; Metazoa; Chordata; Mammalia; Primates; Hominidae.